This is a non-coding RNA of Triticum urartu, 2053 nucleotides long. The record is from RefSeq and is a predicted model, not a curated record. Lineage: Eukaryota; Viridiplantae; Streptophyta; Magnoliopsida; Poales; Poaceae.
CUUUCCUCGGCGCCUUUCCUUACCCACGAAGCUUCUCUCCCAAAAAAUCUUCCCCUCUCCUCCCUCCCUUCCCCGGGUGGGCUAGAGUUGCCGCCGUCGCUGCCCCAUCGCCGCAUCCCAGCUCCUCCGCCGCCGGCCACCAGAGAAGGCGCCUCCUGAGAUCCGCUUCCCCCAAACCUUCUCGUCUUCGCGUUCCGCAAGACCUCCAGGAUGGUUGUAGCGAGGUGCCGGCGGAGACCGACGGUGACGGCUACGACAAGGGGAGGAGAUGAAUCCGAAGCAGCUCGAGGGCCUCCUGGGGGCCUGACCAAGUUCUCCGCCGCCUCCCCCGCUUUAUCCUUCUCCUCUCUCAUUCUCUCCCCAUGCCCGUGGCGGCUGCGAGGAGGUAUACGAUGGGGUUCCGCGACCAGAUGAGGGCAAGGGCGUCGAUCUCCCUCCUCCUGCUCCCAAUCGCCGUCGCGGCCACCAUCUGCUAGAUCUUCACCGCCUUAGCGCCGUGGUCCAGCUGAUGGUGCUGCGGUUCUGCUCGGGCGCCAUCACCUGAAGGUCGCUGUUGCCGACGACGAGGACAGAUGGGAGGACGCCGCCGCAACGGAUCUGCUCCCCAUUUCCCUCCACCGUCGGUGGCCAUGUGCGGGUGUCUCCCAGGAUCCAGGUGUGGUCUCGCCGCCAUCGAUGCCAGAGGAGGAAGAGGUGCUCUUCCAUGUCGACUAGAGGAGAAAGAGGAGGAGGAGGAGGCGCUUCUCCGACCAGACCCAGGGUCGGGGCCGGCACGCCACGGGCAUCUACGCCUGCGACCACGACCACACGCACGGGCUGACGCCGCUGAUGAAGAUGCGUACCCUUAGCCACGAGUUUGUCCCUGAUCCCAUCCAUGCAGGUGGGCUUCGCUGCCAUUGAAUGACACCUCUGAUCUCCCAUGUAGAUGAGCUCGGGUUUAUGGAAGCCAUGUCCAUAAAGCAAACUGAGUGCUUCGAAGUUUUGUAGAAAAGGAAUUGGAAGCUCGGAGAGACCUCACGUGAAUCAACAGGUUUGACUCCUUUUAGUCUUUGGUUAUUUCCAAAGCGGAAACCCAUGAAAUGUCGGGAUCAAAAUCCCAGGUCAGAUGGAAGUGUGGGCAUUCAUGAUUACUGUACAAGUAACUGAUUUUGUGGAACAUGCUUCUUACUUUCUUGUCUGAAUGCUUAAUAGUAUAUUACCCUUGCAAUGUGAUGGAACCAGUAGACUUUAUACCCUUGACCCUUGCAAUGUCUGAAGCAAAACAAAAUUUGGAUCACAUUUUAGAUCUUUUGUUGAAAACAAAGUUUCUAUCAGGCUUUAGAUCUGUUAUUUCCUUGUUCUAAUCAGCAUAAACUGAAUUAUUUUAUCUGAUUGCAAAUUAUCAUCAAACUGUGGUGUUUCAUCGAGGACGAUCUUUAUCAACAAUGAGGAGGAUUUGCAGAAGAUGAGAUUUCAAAUGGCUUGAAUAAGAAGAGAUGCAGAUCAGUAUUCUGGACAGGUUCUUGAUCCUAACCAGUCCACGGUGCCGUAGCCGUCGUCCUGAUUCCUUGGACGCCGCCGACGCAAGCGACAAGAGAAGGUGAGAUCGAAUCCAUAUGUUCUUUCUUUUUCCCCGUCCGUCCCGUGGAUUUUUCCUGUAUUUUGGUGAGCUCCUGAACCACCUGAUUUGUUCUUUCAUGCAAGCACACCUCUAGCUCGGCUUGUGGCGGCGGCGGGUAUUGCUGGAGUGGAGGCGCCUUUCGUUUUUCGUCCUCUUGUUCGUGCGAAGGCGCAGAAGGUCGGAUGAGGAAGUAUGAGAACAGCAAAAGAGGAGAUGGGAAAGGGUGGCGUGUUGUGGGACAACCCGGCGCUGGUGGACGCCUUAGACCACCCCGUCACCACCUACAAGCUAUGCGCCCUGGUCCCCUUUUGAUCCUCUUGCCCUUUCCUCCUUGCUGGUGGCGUGUCAGGUCCUACGCAAUUUACAACUGUGGAUCUCGCGAAUUGUAAGAGGAAAUCAUGGCAAUUGCUGGAUCUGGAGUAUAUGAUCUGUAGGAGGAGCAGUGUUCGUAUA